Molecule: ribosomal RNA, 243 nt
Filed under: uncultured bacterium
Lineage: Bacteria
Description: partial 16S ribosomal RNA
Rfam family: Bacterial small subunit ribosomal RNA
Source: RNAcentral
CGUGAGGCGGAGCAAACAACAAACACAGUCUCAGUUCAGAUUGUAGGCUGAAACUCGCCUAUAUGAAGUCGGAAUUGCUAGUAAUCGCGGAUCAGCAUGCCGCGGUGAAUACGUUCCCGGGCCUUGUACACACCGCCCGUCACACCAUGAGAGUCGAUAACACCCGAAGCCUGUAGUCUAACAGCAAUGAGGACGCAGUCGAAGGUGGGAUUGAUAAUUAGGGUGAAGUCGUAACAAGGUAUC